UACUGCCUCGCCAUCUGCGCCGCCGAAAAGCGCUCCUCAAAGCGCCUUCAAUGAUUUCAGGGACCGACCCGCAGCGGAAGGCGAGGACGGGCGUGCCGCAGGCCAUCGCCUCAAUCAUCACCAAACCGAAAGGCUCAGGCCAAUCGAUCGGGAACAGUAAGGCGGCGGCCUGGCCCAAAAAUUCGCUCUUGGCGCUCUCGUUGAU
RNAcentral lists this unclassified non-coding RNA (205 nucleotides) under Hevea brasiliensis (rubber tree). Lineage: Eukaryota; Viridiplantae; Streptophyta; Magnoliopsida; Malpighiales; Euphorbiaceae. The record is from RNAcentral.